Molecule: unclassified non-coding RNA, 4245 nt
Filed under: Haliotis rubra (blacklip abalone)
Lineage: Eukaryota; Metazoa; Mollusca; Gastropoda; Lepetellida; Haliotidae
Description: mucin-5AC-like, transcript variant X1
Source: RNAcentral
GCAGCUACAACACGCUUUAACGAAACCAUCCCGUCACUAGUGCGGACACGAACCGCGGUAUAACGAGGUCACAGUUACCAUUCCAUCGGUUACGGGAGGGGAGCUCUCCAUGCUGAAAAGGUAGCAUUUGUUGAAAGGGGAUCCGGCGGUGUUUAACACGUCCAUAUAUGGGCAGGGUACUCUCGUUUGGCCUAUUUCUUACCAAUUUGGAAAUGCACGCGAGGCUUGGCGAAAAUAAAGCUCCCGUUGCCAUGGAGAUGGCAAGGGUUUGGGGGCACAUUACUUUAGAUAGAAUCGGAAAAGUUUGUGUUGUGGGGUUCAAGCUAACUUCAUGCGUGUCGACUCGUAUUCUGAAGUUGGGAGCAGUUAAUUUGGAUAUGUCGGGCAUCUGAAGAAAUUCUUGUGUUUCACCACAAAAUGCUAGAGGAUACUUGGAGAACGGAAGGAUGUGUUUGAAGUUUGGCCUGGGAUUAUACUGAGAGUUUGACCAUGUCUCACAGGCGGAAAAGUGCUAGACCUACGAAUAAGCACUGGCGAAAUGGACCGCACACCUAUGAUCACUCUCCUACACAGUCGGCGUGCGAGGACGAGGGUGAGGACAGGUCCUCUCCAGCCCCCCACCCGGGACAGGCCAUCGAGAUACCCUCCGACAUCUUCAAGGACUUUGAGCAGCUGAAACACGUCACGAACCUGGACACCACCACCCUCAUGAGGAACCUCCUCAACGACUACCACAGAUUGCCAGCACGGUCGUCAUGGCACCGGCCUCACGUGGAGGAGGUGCAGACGGAGAGUCCAGCGUCACCAGUUGUCGACGACAAGCAAGUGAUGAAAGACUCCUCCGAGAGGAGUAUGUUUGACCUGGAGAUGAAUCACAGUUCUCCACUCGUGGACAGUGGCUUUAUAGAUCAUGGUUGUGACAGCCCUCUUGGAUCUGGGACAGAUCAACCCUUGGACCUGUCAGUUGUUGUGAAGUCGGAAAGGUCAACUCCAGAUGACGGCAUAGGCCAAGACAAGAAGACCUUUGCUGGACAGCUACAGAUGAAGCUAAUUGGAGGAGAGAGGGGUACAGCUUCUCCCACAGUGUCGGCUGCGCCUUGUGUGAUGAUGACAUCACCGGUAAUGACAUCUGACGUCAUCAUGUCCCACGUGUCCGGUCAAGGGGGGCUGGUAAUGACCUCUGCAAUGCCGAACCAGUGCAGGGUCGUGAUGUCGUCUGCCGUCCCUGGCACAGGAACCUUUUCCUUGAGCGGUGACAAGAACGAGUGUAACAUCAUGAUGCCGAUGCAGAUGUCAAUGCAGCUGCCGACAGUCACCAACGUCGAGGGAGGUCAAGGGGUUAUGACGAGCAACAUCAAUGUGGAAACAAGCAGUGGUCAGCAGAUAGUAGCCAUCCCCAUCCUCCAGACAGUGCCGGUCCAAGUCCAUGCUGCUCCAAAGUCUCAGCCCCAGCAACCUCCGCCUCCUCAGCCACAGCCACAGCUUCAGCAGUUUCAACUGCAACAGCAACCCCAGCAACCUCAACCACAACCACACGUCCCUGCCAGGAGAGGUAGAAAACCAGGAUCAGUCAACAAAGGAACUAAGGCAUCCAAACCAGCGAGGUCAAAUGAAAUGAAAGUUGUUGCUGAGAACACAAUGUUUCCUGGAGUGUAUACAAGUAUUCUCAAGCUUCCCUGGAGCCGUCGAUCUCGAACCAAGGCUCAUCUUCCAACCCCUCCAGUGCCCCCUCCAACACAACCCUCCAUGACGCUUCUGCCAGUUACGUCAUCACAGGAAUUAGCAACGUCUUCAGCACCAGCAGCUUCAGCAUCUCAUUCACCCUCUACGACACAGUCUGUGAUGAUGGUGUACCCUAAUGCUACGAUAUCUGCUUUAGGUAAGCCAGUCAGAAAGAGGGGCCGACCUCCCAAGCUUCCAGUCCUUUCCCACCUUCUUGCGGAGAAGAAGCCCAAGAAGGACACUCUAUAUACACCAGUAGCAACAACCCUUCCUAGCCAGUCCGCCUCCAUAUCCGCCGAUGGAUCAAUGUUGUCAAUACUCAGUACUCACAGUAUUGGAGCGGACACUUCAAAUGAAGAUGAUAAAUUAAAAAAACUUCAAACUGUAUCUGAAACCCAGGAUUCAAAGACCUUUCAGUUGGACACGCCAGACCAAUUCCCCACCCCAGCAUCUCAGCACCUUGAAACAUCAGACCAAGGAACUGCGACAACUAAAGGAUCAAACGGUGCGAUGUUUCAAGAGAUGCUGCUGUCUUCUAAGUCACUGAUCAACAUCAAACCAAGAAAGCGACAAUCGAGCAACCUUUUAAAAUCAGGUGAAAACUUCAUAUGUACAUCUUUCAGAAUAAGACCCAGAGGGUCAAGACACAAAGCUCCUUCAGCUUCCCCAAAGACUGCUCCUGAACAACCUACAUCUGAUCCUGACCCAGCCCCACCGAUCACCACUCCAGACAUGAACCACACAUCGCCAGAACCCCUGGAAAGGGUGACCGUGUCGCCCACCUCGACAGUAGAUGACUCCCCUCUGUCCAAGAAUAUGUUCCACGAACUGUACCACUGUAAGGUAUGCAACGAGAUAGUCCCAGCAGAUGAGAAACAGACUCACAAACAGCAGCAUGUUCCGGUCAAGUUCUUCUGCUUGACCUGCGGCUUGGAAUACUACAGUUUCCUUCAGGGCAAAGCCGGGGAGGACCCGGAUGCUCCUCAGAGCUUUCAGUGCGAGCGAUGCAGUGAGAACUACAACAGUAACCUCCCCUUGAACAGUGGCCUUCACCUUAAAACGGAGUCAUUACAAUGUGAUCUUUGUGACGAACAUUUGAAAUCUUUCUCCGAUCUCUGCGAACAUAGGAGAGAAGUACAUGGCGAUGAGAAGAGGGGGAUAGAUCAGUAUCGCUGUGACGAAUGCAGUAAGGUGUUUUUUACGGAGAAGAGUCUCGAUGCUCAUAAAGAAACCCAUGGAGAGAAAGAAGGAGAGUAUUGUGAGGACGAAAUGAAUCCGGAAGAACUGGAACUAGCGAAAGAGUUUUCUAGUAAGAAGGAAUACACCUGUGUGUAUGAUGGCUGCAAGAAGAAGUUCAUGAAGAAAUUUCAUCUCCAAGAACAUAUUCGUGUGAAACAUUUCAACAUCCGGGCAUACCGGUGCUCAUGGCCCGGAUGUUAUAAGGAGUUUGCGGCUGAGCGGCAUCUUAAGGUACACUUGCUGAUUCACAAGGAUGAGAAACCGCUAAAGUGUGACUUCUGUGACUAUAGAUGUCGCCAGCGAAAUGCCAUGAACUGGCACAUGCGCAAACACCCGGAAGCUCCUUACAGAUACCGGAAGUUUGGAAUGCUUUCCGGAUGUGAUGACUGAGGGCUUUUGACCUCUGUGACCUGGUGUCCUAGGUGAUCAUAUAAACAAUGUGAAUUCUGCCGAAACAUUUUUGCGAACAUACCUGUGAUCAAAUUAUAUGACCAAAACUAUGUUGUGUUUCAAAACAGUCGUAAGGUAUGAGGUGUCAUUUGGUGUGAAAUACUCUCGGGUGUUAUAUAUUUCGCUGGAUGCCAUUGUGAAAUCAUUUCUCACUUCAGUAUGUGAAAUAGCACAGGUAACUGCUCUAACAUUAAUUACCAGAUUCCAUUUUUGUUGCAUUUCAAAGAAUUGUCUGGAAGUGAUUUCAUUACAUUUGAUUUUAGAAAAGGAAAAAUAUUUUUUAAGAAGUCAGGAUUAACGCAAUCUAAGUUACACUCCAUGUUUGAUGAUAUUCCUCGUGGAAUCAAGAACAAACAUCUGGAUUUCUAAGGGUUAAUGAUCUCUUCACCUCAAGCAGGGGGCUGGAAACAGUUUCUCACUUUCUCAUACUCCCCUAAUAUAGGAAUUGGUUAUAUUAUAGAUCUCAUGUGCGUAUGGGCGUGUGCGUGUUUGUGUGAAUGCGUGCGUAUGUGGGCGUGCGUGCGUGCGUUCGUGUGUGUAAAUGUGCAAUACCCUCCAUUAUGUAACUACAUGUAUCACACAAUAUCGAAGUUCCCGGUACAAUGAGGUGUUGUGCACUAAUACUGUCAACAUAUUAAAUACUGUUAACAUUUUUACUUAAAUAGAUCCACUGAACUCAAACCAAUACCAUGUUCGAAUGUAUAUUACAUGUAAUCCUAAACCUCAGUCCAUGAUAUCCCCUGACAAAUGGUAAUCUUGUCUGCCGUCCAUGACAUCCCCGACAAAAGGUGAGCUUAUCUUCCGUCAAUGACAUCCCCGACAAAUGGUGAGCUU